RNAcentral lists this long non-coding RNA (4095 nucleotides) under Pan troglodytes (chimpanzee). Its description in RNAcentral is "lncRNA (ENSPTRG00000054324.1)". Lineage: Eukaryota; Metazoa; Chordata; Mammalia; Primates; Hominidae. The record is from RNAcentral.
CCAGGGUUUGAAGAAAGACACUGUAGCUUUUGGAUUCAGCAACGGAUCUUUCAAGAAAACAGUAUGGAGGGAUGACUCACUCCCCCCAUGGAGGCUGCCCUCUAGUUCGUCCUUUAGAGGAAGCAUGACCAAGGGUCUGCUAGUACUUUUCUCUCCCUCUCUAAGAAUUUCCUCAGGAGAGGAAAAAGUUAGCUUUCUUUUCUCUGCUCCCGAGUGCCACGGCCUGCAGUGCGUGACCAGUCCUCGGCACAGAGUCACUCAGGGCUCAUGGUAGAUUCUUAGCAGUCACAGCCAAUAGCUGCGCAGUGUGGCAGCAGCUGAGAUCCAUACUGCAGCCUGAAAGUUGUGUUUCAGCUUCUGAGGUUACAAGUGUAUCCAGUGUUUACAUCAGAGAUAAAGCCCCCUUUCCCCUCUCUCCUACGGGAGCCCUCAACAAGACAGAUACACGGGUUGGGUGGAGUGAGACCACAUGCAGCAGAGGCAAAGCUUGCUAAAAGAGAGAGAAGGAGGAGGGGGAGAGGGAGGAGGCGGCACGGCGUCCCUUGGCAGCUCCGUGCAUGCUGCGGCAGUUGCAACAGGAGAACCGAGUACCAGUUGCUCCACACUUUAUCACUUUGCAUUGCUCUUUCUCCUCCCUUAAGUGAAUUUCCAUUUUGAGGGUACAGCUCCACAGGAGAAAGGUGUGGUGGUGGUAGUGGUGGAGGGUGUCUGGGCGGGGGAUGGUGGUGCGACGGGAGUUGGAAUGUCCAGUGUGGGGAAGCAAAGGAGUGCCUACUAGGAUGCGAAUACCACUUGGCCCUGGGUUCGCUCCGCUUUAGCCUUCCCCUCUCGCUGGGGAGAAACAGGCGGUUUGUGAGGGAGACUGAGAGAGGGGCGUGUUUGUGGUGGUGGCGGCCCAUCGGGGGUCCUUGUCCUCUCCGAAUACCCGGACUGCUGAGGGGAAGGGCCGGGGGGGCCCCGGCGGUUGCCAUGGUGACGCAGGGUCGGCGGCUCCGCGCCGUAGAGACAAAGCCGCCCGCCCGCCAGCCCGCUAGCUCCUCGCGCGAGCUCCUCCUCCACGGGAACCUCCCUCCCCUCCCAGGCGCCGCCGCAGCCGGAGCGGCUCCCGGGCCCUGGGCCGCCGGCGGCCAGUUUUCCUCUGCCUUUUUGGCAUCCCAUUCAUUCUGAUUACACCAGUGGAUCUGUUACCAGAAAGGGGUCCCAAACCAGACCUCAAGAGAGGGUUCUUGGAUCUUGUGCAAUAAAGAAUUCGAGGUGAGUCCACAGAGUAAAGUGAAAACAAGUACAUUAAGGAAGUAAGGGAAUAAAAGGGUGGCUAUUCCAUAGAGAGACUAGGGCAUUCCCAAAAGCAAGAGGAGAAACACGUCUGCCUUAGGUAUAAUGCUUAUUUAUAUAUAACAAAGGAAAAAGUCAUGGGGAGAUGUGCUUUUACUACAAGGGUUUGUGACAAGGGAUUGUUAAUCUUUGUGUAACUACUUUGGAAAGAAUCUGUAUUAUCUUUAAAGCAAAACAUUAUUAUUAUUAUUAUUAUUAUUAUUAUUUUGAGAUAGAGUCCUGCUCUGUUGCCCAGGCUAGAGUGCAGUGGCACAAUCUCAGCUCACUGCAACCUCUGCCUCCUGGGUUGAAGCAAUUCUCCUGCCUCAGCCUCCUGAGCAGCUGGAACUACAGGCAUGUGCAUUAUGCCUGGGUAAUUUUUGUAUUUUUAGUAGAAAUGGGGUUUUACCAUGUUGGCCAGGCCGGUCUCAAACUCCUGACCUCAGGUGAUCCACCCGCCUUGGCCUCCCAAAGUGUUGGGAUUACAGGCAUGAGCCACCGUACCUGACUGCAAAACUUAUUCUUAAACUACGAAUGCUUUUGUUCGUAAGAUAUCAGGACAUCAGGACAUUUCCUGGGUCUGUUAUUUCCUGGGUUUGUUAAGUCCUGGGUCUAUUCAGUAAACGUUAUUAACUUCUUCCCUUAACUGUAAAUAUCCUAUGACUAAAAAUGUCUAGCCUCCUGGGAAUCCAGCACAGUAGGUCUCAGCCUCAUUUUACCCAGCCCUAAUUCAAGAUGGAGUCACUCUGGUUUGAAUGCCUCUGACACAUUUCCCCCCUCCCAUUUAUAAGGGGACCCUUAAUCCUGAAGGGUGCAGAGGGAUAGAAAUUUAUCUUCUGUAGCUUCUUCAGGCUGAACAGGGGCAAUGAUAUUCCUGCCUAACAAUAUUUAGGGUCUCUUGUAUUUAGAGUUGGGAGGAGUUUAGUCAUAAAGUGUUAGUAUGGUGAAGGUCAUUCAAAACUCUGAGUCCUGAUGAAAGAUGAUACCUGGAAGAUUAGUAAGUAUUUAAGAAAACAUUGAGUAAGCUUAUCCUGAAUUAUAUACAAAGAGUACAACAGCAAUAUAUUCUACAACUGUAAAGUGAAAUCAGUAAAAUUGUCUCAAAUCAACUAAAUAAGACAGCUUUCUAUGAACUGGGCAAUUGUGGGAACCAAGCUGAUAUGGGGUCGCUAGCUGAUUUCAUUAUGUGUCCAGAAUUAGAAUAGUGAUUCAGAUUUUUAUGUUAAUCAUGCCUCAUGUUUCUUUUGAGCAGCAGCCAGAGCUCACUGGUUGGUUCACAGGAAUAAGCAGGGUCAGUCUAAAUUGCAGAAAAAACUCAAAAACAAUGGAUGAGACUAGAGUCUAGUAACAGGUGUACCAUAGUUUGUGAAACAUAAUUUUUCUCUCUCCAGUCCCUGUUUUUAUUUAAACAAACCAUGGUAGGACUGAUUUGUUGGCAAAAUAAAUUUUAGUCUUAUUGUAUGUGGACUGAUUUGUUGGCAAAAUAAAUUUUAGUCUUAUUGUAUGUGGCCUGGUUAUUUGUAUAAAGUGAAGCAAGAAUAAUUAUUUGCCAUAUAGGCUCUUUUGGCUUUGAUGGAACUGUGUUCUAUAAUCUAAUCUUAGAUUAGACUUUUUAAAGCCUUGAGACCAGUCAUGAUUUAUGUGUGUCUGCAAAUAUGAGUUGGAUAAGUUUCUCUCCUCUGGAUGUCCCAAGAUAUUUGGGGCUCGUGGGCCUGUCAGAAAGUGACAUUCUUUACUUACCACAGGUCAGGAGCCCUGUACAAGGCUCAAGAUAUGAGGUCAGUUUUCUUAGGGGCUUUAAUUGUCUCUAUAAAUGAAUUUUGAUUCCUUAAACCAGUUUGUUUACAUUUGAAAGCAUGUCAGUCAUUCCAGUCAAAGCCUUGGUAAAAUAACCAGUGUCUCCAAUUGUGUCUUGUCACAAAGGAAAAAUUCUUACUGGACUUAUGUAAGUAGCUAUAUCACCAUAAGUUAAAAAUACUCACAAAUAGUUUCCAAAUUUGGGAGAAAUCAGGUAGAGAGAAAGAAAUGUGCUCUAAAUUUUGUUUACAGUAGUAUAUUAUACUCAAUUGUUGAAAGCUGUAAAUAGCUCAAAAUAAGUUUUCUUGACUCUGAAAAACAAAACAAAGGCAAAAAGUCAUGAAUAGAUUAUUUUGGUCUUCUAUUAGUUGUCUGUGCAAUUCCUGUUUUUCUCAAUAUUUAUGAAUACGUUAGUUUUCCAAGAGUCUUGGAAGUUUUUCUUCGUUUUAAUGGCAUACACUUCAAAGCUGUGAAAGUCCUGCUUUAUAAGAGUACUUGUCAGAGUCCUAUAACUGAUUAUAAACUGCCUUUUGAAGAGAAUCAAAACGAGACAAUUGCUUGUGGAUGACAAAAAGUCUUAGGGCAGCUAUAGUCAGAGACACAAUUGACAAGGAAAUUUGGCCCCUUGUGGCACACAAUAAUUUAAGAUAACAAUUAUAACUAUUAAUGAUAACAUAUACUAAGUUAUACCAGAAUUAUAGUAGUUUUGCAUAAUUUUGGAACACAUACCAAUAACACAUAUAAAUAACCCAAAAAAUGUCAGAUGCCAUUUUGUAUUUGACAAUACUUCCUAUAUGAUUUUAGUAUGUCAAAUGAGUCAAAUAUGCCAUUAUUGGACUUCAGGGGACCUAAUAUCUAAAAGGAUUAUCAAGUCAGGAAAGACUUAUUAAGUCUUUAGGUCCUAAUUAAGUCCUAGUUUGAUUUGGGAAUGUUUGUUAAAUAGCAAAGGUGUAAAACACUUUAUGUUAUAAAAUAGAAUCUCAG